This 406-nucleotide ribosomal RNA is filed under the name uncultured bacterium. RNAcentral describes it as "partial 16S ribosomal RNA". It matches the Rfam family "Bacterial small subunit ribosomal RNA", at positions 30 to 526 of the family's 1533-position model. The record is from RNAcentral.
AUUGAACGCUGGCGGCAGGCCUAACACAUGCAAGUCGAACGAGUGGCGGACGGGUGAGUAAUGUCUGGGAAACUGCCCGAUGGAGGGGGAUAACUACUGGAAACGGUAGCUAAUACCGCAUACCAUCGGAUGUGCGCCGAUGGGGUUAGCUAGUGGGUGGGGUAACGGCUCACCCAGGCGACGAACCCUAGCUGGUGUGAGAGGAUGACCAGCCACACUGGAACUGAGACACGGUCCAGACUCCUACGGGAGGCAGCAGUGGGGAAUAUUGGACAAUGGGCGAAAGCCUGAUCCAGCCAUGCCGCGUGUGUGAAGAAGGUCUUCGGAUUGUAAAGCACUUUAAGUUGGGAGGCGUUACCAACAGAAUAAGCACCGGCUAACUUCGUGCCAGCAGCCGCGGUAAUUC